GACCGCGACCCCAGGUCAGGCGGGACUACCCGCUGAGUUUAAGCA
This 45-nucleotide ribosomal RNA is filed under the name Penstemon barbatus. RNAcentral describes it as "partial 26S ribosomal RNA". The record is from RNAcentral. RNAcentral also lists the same sequence under 2 other names. Lineage: Eukaryota; Viridiplantae; Streptophyta; Magnoliopsida; Lamiales; Plantaginaceae.